AGAGUUUGAUCAUGGCUCAGAUUGAACGCUGGCGGCAGGCCUAACACAUGCAAGUCGAGCGGUAGCACAGAGAGCUUGCUCUCAGGUGACGAGCGGCGGACGGGUGAGUAAUGUCUGGGAAACUGCCUGAUGGAGGGGGAUAACUACUGGAAACGGUAGCUAAUACCGCAUAACGUCGCAAGACCAAAGUGGGGGACCUUCGGGCCUCAUGCCAUCAGAUGUGCCCAGAUGGGAUUAGCUGGUAGGUGGGGUAACGGCUCACCUAGGCGACGAUCCCUAGCUGGUCUGAGAGGAUGACCAGCCACACUGGAACUGAGACACGGUCCAGACUCCUACGGGAGGCAGCAGUGGGGAAUAUUGCACAAUGGGCGCAAGCCUGAUGCAGCCAUGCCGCGUGUGUGAAGAAGGCCUUCGGGUUGUAAAGCACUUUCAGCGGGGAGGAAGGCGGUGAGGUUAAUAACCUCACCGAUUGACGUUACCCGCAGAAGAAGCACCGGCUAACUCCGUGCCAGCAGCCGCGGUAAUACGGAGGGUGCAAGCGUUAAUCGGAAUUACUGGGCGUAAAGCGCACGCAGGCGGUCUGUCAAGUCGGAUGUGAAAUCCCCGGGCUCAACCUGGGAACUGCAUUCGAAACUGGCAGGCUAGAGUCUUGUAGAGGGGGGUAGAAUUCCAGGUGUAGCGGUGAAAUGCGUAGAGAUCUGGAGGAAUACCGGUGGCGAAGGCGGCCCCCUGGACAAAGACUGACGCUCAGGUGCGAAAGCGUGGGGAGCAAACAGGAUUAGAUACCCUGGUAGUCCACGCUGUAAACGAUGUCGAUUUGGAGGUUGUGCCCUUGAGGCGUGGCUUCCGGAGCUAACGCGUUAAAUCGACCGCCUGGGGAGUACGGCCGCAAGGUUAAAACUCAAAUGAAUUGACGGGGGCCCGCACAAGCGGUGGAGCAUGUGGUUUAAUUCGAUGCAACGCGAAGAACCUUACCUGGUCUUGACAUCCACAGAACUUAGCAGAGAUGCUUUGGUGCCUUCGGGAACUGUGAGACAGGUGCUGCAUGGCUGUCGUCAGCUCGUGUUGUGAAAUGUUGGGUUAAGUCCCGCAACGAGCGCAACCCUUAUCCUUUGUUGCCAGCGGUCCGGCCGGGAACUCAAAGGAGACUGCCAGUGAUAAACUGGAGGAAGGUGGGGAUGACGUCAAGUCAUCAUGGCCCUUACGACCAGGGCUACACACGUGCUACAAUGGCAUAUACAAAGAGAAGCGACCUCGCGAGAGCAAGCGGACCUCAUAAAGUAUGUCGUAGUCCGGAUUGGAGUCUGCAACUCGACUCCAUGAAGUCGGAAUCGCUAGUAAUCGUAGAUCAGAAUGCUACGGUGAAUACGUUCCCGGGCCUUGUACACACCGCCCGUCACACCAUGGGAGUGGGUUGCAAAAGAAGUAGGUAGCUUAACCUUCGGGAGGGCGCUUACCACUUUGUGAUUCAUGACUGGGGUGAAGUCGUAACAAGGUAACCGUAGGGGAACCUGCGGUUGGAUCACCU
This 1528-nucleotide ribosomal RNA is filed under the name Klebsiella variicola. RNAcentral describes it as "bacterial SSU rRNA". It matches the Rfam family "Bacterial small subunit ribosomal RNA". The record is from RNAcentral. Lineage: Bacteria; Pseudomonadati; Pseudomonadota; Gammaproteobacteria; Enterobacterales; Enterobacteriaceae.